UUUAAAUUUCUUUUUUUUUCUUAAAGGCCACACCAUGCAGCAUAUAAGAUCUUAGUUCCCUAACCAGGAAAUGAACCCACGCCUCCUGCAUUGGGAGCACAGAGUCUUAACCACUGGACCAUCAGGGAAGUCCCUUAAAUUUCUUUACCUAAGAUUUUGGUCUGCAACAAAUUGGAAAUUAAGAGGAAAACAGAAACUCUAGUCCCUCACAGAUAAUUUGAAAAUUAGAAGAAAAAUAAUCUGUUUGGUUUACCACUUAGACCCAUCACUUAGCACAUGCUGACACAUAAUAGUUCCUCAAACAAGUUUUACUUGAGUGAAAAGAGUUAUUAAGUGAUUGGGCUCUAGAGUCAGAUGAAUGUGGACUUGAAUUUUAGCCUAGUCCAUACUGACUGUACAACCUUGAACAAAUUACAGUACUUAUAGGUUUGUUGAGGAAACUAAAUGAUUUUCUGUAUGUGCUAGUAAGUACUGUGACUGGCAAAAGCUGGUUAUUGUAAUUAUAUUAUUAUUUCCCUGAAUUCCCGGGACCACUGGUUGGGUUUUUUCACUUGUCAUGGGGCUACAGAACAUAGAAUUUUAAAACAAGCAAAGUUGAUUGGCCACUGGUUCAGAUGAAAACCUUUUUUUUCAUCUUUGUUCAGAUGAAACCUUAAGAAGCUCAAAAUGUGAGAUAAUCCCACAUGAAGGGAACUGGAGCUCCAGAGUUAAACUUGCCCAAAACCAUGGCGGGCAUGGAACCUGGCCCGGUGUUGGGAGCCUGAAGUCAGCCUCUGGACCACCAGGGAAGUCCCUCCCCAGACAAAGGAACAGAUCUGCAAACACAGGACCCGCUGUCACAUCACGGAAGGAGUUAGAUUACUAGGCUGGUCGACGACGGGGGCCUUCAGAACCCCGUAAUUAUGUUAUACAGUUGUUAUUAUUUUC
This is a long non-coding RNA of Bos taurus (domestic cattle), 927 nucleotides long. NCBI's taxonomy places the organism in Eukaryota, Metazoa, Chordata, Mammalia, Artiodactyla, Bovidae. The record is from Ensembl.